UCCGGGGUGCGGGCGUUCGCUUGUUUGCAAAAAUGAGAGGAAAGUCCGGACACCAUAGGGCAAGACUCCCUGUGAAAGCAGGGGCGCGCAGGGGAAACCCUGCGUGACGGACAGUGUCACAGAGAACAGACCGCCUCGAGCUUGUCUCGGGGUAAGGGUGAAAAGGGGAGGUAAGAGCUCACCGCUCCAGCGGUAACAAUGGAGGCAGGAUAAACCCAGUCUGGUGCAAGGCAAAAUAGGGGAUCGGGCGGCCCGUCUGAUGAUCUCGGGUAUGCCGCAUCUCGCUUCGGCGGGAAUCCCGCUUGCGGGAUAGAUAAAUGGACGCACGGCUUUCGGGCUGACAAAAUCUGGCUUACAGCACUCCGGAAUCG
RNAcentral lists this RNase P RNA (371 nucleotides) under Coraliomargarita sp. Its description in RNAcentral is "RNase P RNA component class A". It matches the Rfam family "Bacterial RNase P class A". From Rfam's summary of the family: Ribonuclease P (RNase P) is a ubiquitous endoribonuclease, found in archaea, bacteria and eukarya as well as chloroplasts and mitochondria. Lineage: Bacteria; Pseudomonadati; Verrucomicrobiota; Opitutia; Puniceicoccales; Coraliomargaritaceae. The record is from RNAcentral.